This 492-nucleotide ribosomal RNA is filed under the name uncultured bacterium. RNAcentral's name for it is "partial 16S ribosomal RNA". It matches the Rfam family "Bacterial small subunit ribosomal RNA", at positions 29 to 507 of the family's 1533-position model. The record is from RNAcentral.
AGUGAACGCUGGCGGUAGGCCUAACACAUGCAAGUCGAACGGCAGCACAGUAAGAGCUUGCUCUUACGGGUGGCGAGUGGCGGACGGGUGAGGAAUACAUCGGAAUCUACUUUUUCGUGGGGGAUAAUGUAGGGAAACUUACGCUAAUACCGCAUACGACCUACGGGUGAAAGCAGGGGAUCUUCGGACCUUGCGCGAUUGAAUGAGCCGAUGUCGGAUUAGCUAGUUGGCGGGGUAAAGGCCCACCAAGGCGACGAUCCGUAGCUGGUCUGAGAGGAUGAUCAGCCACACUGGAACUGAGACACGGUCCAGGCUCCUACGGGAGGCGGCAGUGGGGAAUAUUGGACAAUGGGCGCAAGCCUGAUCCAGCCAUACCGCGUGGGUGAAGAAGGCCUUCGGGUUGUAAAGCCCUUUUGUUGGGAAAGAAAAGCAGCAGGUUAAUACCCCGCUGUUCUGACGGUACCCAAAGAAUAAGCACCGGCUAACUUCGUG